GAUGAACGCUAGCUACAGGCUUAACACAUGCAAGUCGAGGGGAAACGACAGAGAAAGCUUGCUUUUUCUAGGCGUCGACCGGCGCACGGGUGAGUAACGCGUAUCCAACCUGCCCAUCACUUGGGGAUAACCUUGCGAAAGUAAGACUAAUACCCAAUGAUAACUCUAGAAGACAUAUGAAGGAGAUUAAAGAAUUAUCGGUGAUGGAUGGGGAUGCGUCUGAGUAGCUUGUUGGCGGGGUAACGGCCCACCAAGGCGACGAUCAGUAGGGGUUCUGAGAGGAAGGUCCCCCACAUUGGAACUGAGACACGGUCCAAACUCCUACGGGAGGCAGCAGUGAGGAAUAUUGGUCAAUGGACGAGAGUCUGAACCAGCCAAGUAGCGUGCAGGAUGACGGCCCUAUGGGUUGUAAACUGCUUUUAUAAGGGAAUAAAGUGAGUCUCGUGAGACUUUUUGCAUGUACCUUAUGAAUAAGGACCGGCUAAUUCCGUGCCAGCAGCGCAGUAA
Molecule: ribosomal RNA, 507 nt
Filed under: uncultured bacterium
Lineage: Bacteria
Description: partial 16S ribosomal RNA
Rfam family: Bacterial small subunit ribosomal RNA
Source: RNAcentral